GACGUAGGAUGCAAGCGUUGUCCGGAUUUAUUGGGCGUAAAGAGUUCGUAGGCGGUUAGUUAAGUCUGGUGUUAAAGACCGUGGCCCAACCACGGAAAUGCAUCGGAUACUGGCUAACUUGAGUGCGGUAGAGGCGAGUGGAAUUCCCAGUGUAGCGGUGAAAUGCGUAGAUAUUGGGAAGAACACCAGUGGCGUAAGCGACUCGCUGGGCCGUAACUGACGCUGAGGAACGAAAGCCAGGGGAGCGAAU
This 250-nucleotide ribosomal RNA is filed under the name uncultured bacterium. RNAcentral describes it as "partial 16S ribosomal RNA". It matches the Rfam family "Bacterial small subunit ribosomal RNA", at positions 524 to 773 of the family's 1533-position model. The record is from RNAcentral.